This 519-nucleotide ribosomal RNA is filed under the name uncultured bacterium. Its description in RNAcentral is "bacterial SSU rRNA". It matches the Rfam family "Bacterial small subunit ribosomal RNA", at positions 993 to 1509 of the family's 1533-position model. The record is from RNAcentral.
GAAUUUAGCAGAGAUGCUUUAGUGCCUUCGGGAACUCUGAGACAGGUGCUGCAUGGCUGUCGUCAGCUCGUGUUGUGAAAUGUUGGGUUAAGUCCCGCAACGAGCGCAACCCUUAUCCUUUGUUGCCAGCACGUAAUGGUGGGAACUCAAAGGAGACUGCCGGUGAUAAACCGGAGGAAGGUGGGGAUGACGUCAAGUCAUCAUGGCCCUUACGAGUAGGGCUACACACGUGCUACAAUGGCGCAUACAAAGAGAAGCGACCUCGCGAGAGCAAGCGGGACCUCAUAAAGUGCGUCGUAGUCCGGAUUGGAGUCUGCAACUCGACUCCCAUGAAGUCGGAAUCGCUAGUAAUCGUAAAUCAGAAUGUUACGGUGAAUACGUUCCCGGGCCUUGUACACACCGCCCGUCACACCAUGGGAGUGGGUUGCAAAAGAAGUAGAUAGCUUAACCUUCGGGAGGGCGUUUACCACUUUGUGAUUCAUGACUGGGGUGAAGUCGUAACAAGGUAGGCGUAGUGCU